RNAcentral lists this ribosomal RNA (492 nucleotides) under uncultured bacterium. Its description in RNAcentral is "partial 16S ribosomal RNA". It matches the Rfam family "Bacterial small subunit ribosomal RNA", at positions 29 to 507 of the family's 1533-position model. The record is from RNAcentral.
AGUGAACGCUGGCGGUAGGCCUAACACAUGCAAGUCGAACGGCAGCACAGUAAGAGCUUGCUCUUACGGGUGGCGAGUGGCGGACGUGUGAGGAAUACAUCGGAAUCUACUUUUUCGUGGGGGAUAACGUGGGGAAACUUACGCUAAUACCGCAUACGACCUACGGGUGAAAGCAGUGGAUCUUCGGACCUUGCGCGAUUGAAUGAGCCGAUGUCGGAUUAGCUAGUUGGCGGGGUAAAGGCCCACCAAGGCGCGGAUCCGUAGCUGGUCUGAGUGGAUGAUCAGCCGCACUGGAACUGGGACACGGUCCAGGCUCCUACGGGAGGCAGCAGUGGGGAAUAUUGGGCAAUGGGCGCAAGCCUGAUCCAGCCGUACCGCGUGGGUGAAGAAGACCUUCGGGUUGUAAAGACCUUUUGUUGGGAAAGAAAAGCAGCAGGUUAAUACCCCGCUGUUCUGACGGUACCCAAAGAAUAAGCACCGGCUAACUUCGUG